GACGAACGCUGGCGGCGUGCUUAACACAUGCAAGUCGAACGGAAAGGCCCUGCUUUUGUGGGGUGCUCGAGUGGCGAACGGGUGAGUAACACGUGAGUAACCUGCCCUUGACUUUGGGAUAACUUCAGGAAACUGGGGCUAAUACCGGAUAGGAGCUCCUGCUGCAUGGUGGGGGUUGGAAAGUUUCGGCGGUUGGGGAUGGACUCGCGGCUUAUCAGCUUGUUGGUGGGGUAGUGGCUCACCAAGGCUUUGACGGGUAGCCGGCCUGAGAGGGUGACCGGCCACAUUGGGACUGAGAGACGGCCCAGACUCCUACGGGAGGCAGCAGUGGGGAAUAUUGCACAAUGGGCGGAAGCCUGAUGCAGCAACGCCGCGUGCGGGAUGACGGCCUUCGGGUUGUAAACCGCUUUCGCCUGUGACGAAGCGUGAGUGACGGUAAUGGGUAAAGAAGCACCGGCUAACUACGUG
This 468-nucleotide ribosomal RNA is filed under the name uncultured bacterium. Its description in RNAcentral is "partial 16S ribosomal RNA". It matches the Rfam family "Bacterial small subunit ribosomal RNA", at positions 28 to 507 of the family's 1533-position model. The record is from RNAcentral.